Molecule: ribosomal RNA, 496 nt
Filed under: uncultured bacterium
Lineage: Bacteria
Description: partial 16S ribosomal RNA
Rfam family: Bacterial small subunit ribosomal RNA
Source: RNAcentral
GAUGAACGCUGGCGGCGUGCCUAAUUCAUGCCAGUCGAGCGAACAGACGGGGAGCUUGCUCCUCUGACGUUAGCGGCGGACGGGUGAGUAACACGUGGAUAACCUACCUAUAAGACUGGGAUAACUUCGGGAAACCGGAGCUAAUACCGGAUAAUAUAUUGAACCGCAUGGUUCAAUAGUGAAAGACGGUUUUGCUGUCACUUAUAGAUGGAUCCGCGCCGCAUUAGCUAGUUGGUAAGGGAACGGCUUACCAAGGCAACGAUGCGUAGCCGACCUGAGAGGGUGAUCGGCCACACGGGAACGAGGACACGGACCAGACCCCUACGGGAGGCAGCGGUGGGGAAUCUGCCGCAAGGGGCGAAAGCCUGACGGAGCAACGCCGCGGGGGUGAGGAGGGUCUUCGGAUCGUAAAACCCUUUUAUUGGGGAAAAACAAAUGUGUAAGUAACGAUGCAGGUCUGGAGGUAACCAAAGAAGAAAGCCAGGCUAAAUUAGGU